UUGCAUGGCUGUCGUCAGCUCGUGUCGUGAGAUGUCGGUUAAGUCCGCUAACGAGCGCAACCCUCGCUGUGUGUUAUAUGUGUCACACAGGACUGCUGGUAUUAAGCCGGAGGAAGGUGGGGGCGACGUCAAGUCAGCAUGACCUUUAUAUCCAGGGCUACACACACGCUACAAUGGUCAGUACAAUGGGUUGCCAAGCCGCGAGGCGGAGCCAAUCCUAAAAAGCUGGCCUCAGUUCAGAUUGCAGUCUGAAACUCGACUGCAUGAAGUCGGAGUUGCUAGUAAACGCAGGUCAGCUAUACUGCGUUGAAUACGUUCCCGGGGCUU
Molecule: ribosomal RNA, 327 nt
Filed under: uncultured Anaerolineaceae bacterium
Lineage: Bacteria; Bacillati; Chloroflexota; Anaerolineae; Anaerolineales; Anaerolineaceae
Description: bacterial SSU rRNA
Rfam family: Bacterial small subunit ribosomal RNA
Source: RNAcentral